GCACCUCAGCGCCCUCUGGAAAGCACCGUUCUAAACAUACCCUCUGUGAAUCACCCCACUGACGGAGGGCGUUUGCUGACCGCUGGUCUUGUGCAGUGCUACUGCUCUAACAGGAAAUUUUGCUUUUUGUUUACUCUUUAGAGAUAGCGUUCAUCGAAGAGACUCUACUCAAAAUACCUAAGGCUGAAUUAGAGGACAUAGCUGGGUUUUGUUUUUGUUUUGUUUUUUUCUUAUUAGAACAGUAAGGAAUUGUACUGUGUUCCUGGCCCCUCUCACUUAGAGGAACAAGGAUUACACAGAAAUUUGAAAUUUCAACAAAAAGAACUUAGGAUUCCUGGGAUUCCCACAUCAAAGAAAAGCUGCAAGCUUUCAGAAAGAGUUUUCCUUGGAUGAUAAAGAAGAACCUGCCAACCACCGGAGAGGCCUUGAUGCCAAGUGCUUAGCUGCACUCCCUAAAGUUGCAGAAUUAAGAAAAAUCUUCGAACCAAAGAGAAAAGACUUUUUAGAAAUGAAAAG
RNAcentral lists this long non-coding RNA (516 nucleotides) under Rattus norvegicus (Norway rat). Its description in RNAcentral is "long non-coding RNA NONRATT012994". The record is from RNAcentral. Lineage: Eukaryota; Metazoa; Chordata; Mammalia; Rodentia; Muridae.